UACGUAGGGGGCAAGCGUUGUCCGGAAUCAUUGGGCGUAAAGAGCGUGUAGGCGGUCCGGUAAGUCCGCUGUGAAAGUCGGGGGCUCAACCCUCGAAUGCCGGUGGAUACUGUCGGGCUAGAGUGCGGAAGAGGCGAGUGGAAUUCCUGGUGUAGCGGUGAAAUGCGCAGAUAUCAGGAGGAACACCGGUGGCGAAGGCGGGUCUCUGGGCCGAUACUGACGCUGAGGAGCGAAAGCGUGGGGAGCGAACAGG
This 253-nucleotide ribosomal RNA is filed under the name uncultured bacterium. Its description in RNAcentral is "partial 16S ribosomal RNA". It matches the Rfam family "Bacterial small subunit ribosomal RNA", at positions 524 to 776 of the family's 1533-position model. The record is from RNAcentral.